RNAcentral lists this long non-coding RNA (1361 nucleotides) under Apteryx owenii (little spotted kiwi). RNAcentral describes it as "lncRNA (ENSAOWG00000000099.1)". Lineage: Eukaryota; Metazoa; Chordata; Aves; Apterygiformes; Apterygidae. The record is from RNAcentral.
CAUAACUCAGAUUUCUGCGGAGGGCCACAGUCCAUACAGAGCAACCUGGGGAUCUGCUGCUGCUGCUUGGGAUCUGACAAGGCCGACACAGCCGAGGGGGCUUUGCCCCAUCCCUCCAGGGCAUCCCUCCCUAGCAGGAUGCGGCCCCCYGAAGGGGCACUGAAGCGAGCCGGGCCCUCGGCCCCACGUCACUGCCCAGACUUACGACUCCAGAACUGCAUCACUGAGAGCUUCUGGCAYGACCUUCCCCUCCUUGCCGGACAUCCUGCUGCCCACGUGCUGCCGCAACGGGGCCGGGCUGCUCGCAGGAGCGUCCGCCACGUCCCCGGCCGCAUCCAGCUCCAUGUCGCUGGUGCUCGGCGUCGGGCAGCCUCGGCUCGUGCCGCUCCCAAGGGAGACCUCCAGGCUGAUCUCCUGCAGCUCCCCCAGCGCCUCCUCCACGCUCUGCCCCACGGCACCUUCCCGGGGCUCACAGCACGGGUGCCGCUGGCCUGCGAGCUCCCCGCUGCCAGGCAGGACCCGCUCCGGCACGGCCACAGCGGGAGCCCCGGGGCUGUUGUGGCCUUGGCCCCACAGGCUACCCAGCUCUUUCCCCCGUGCUGCGGGCUCCCGUGCCCUCCGUGUGCUUCGCCGGAGCCCAAAGAGUCUCCCGAGGAGCUGGAGCAGGGAGGGCCGGCUGGGAGCCGGGGCGGCCCUCGGGGCAUCCAUCCGCRCCAGCGCUGGGAGCGGGGCUGCAGGGACGGUCGGCGGCUCAACGGCUCGGAACCGGAUUCGAAUCGAACGGCCCCAAACCRCUUGGAACCCGGAGCCGGGGGCCGAACGCGCACAGCCCGGGGCCCCAGGGGGGAUGCAGGGCACGCGCAGCCCGGGGCCGGGGGGAAAGAGGGGCCCCGAAAGCCGAAGCCUCCCUCUGCCCGCCGUGACUCAUUCCUGCGGCAUCGCCACUCUCCACCACGGCUCAGCCUGACCCUCAACUUCUGUAACGGCGAGAGAGGGUGGGAGGAAGGGGGGAGGCUCGUGAAAAUGCGGGAGAACCCCACAAGCAAUGCACAAUUAUGGCCAAAGAGAGAAAGCUAAAAUAUUACUUCUUCUGCAGGCAGCAGUGGAGCAAACGGCUUUUAAAAUCGGCGUCUGUGUUUGCCGUUGCAAUGCGAUACAUACACGACAGCAACGGCAGAAACAGCAACGGCAGCAAACUCAGUGACCUGUUUCGGAGGGACUCCCUGCCACCCCUGUCACCCGGCCAUUACGGCACAUUUUCAAGGAGUGUUUUCCUAGGACAGCAAUCUCAGUUAAGGGCAUGAUUUUUCUGCAGUGUUCCUGUGCUUGACCAAGCCAUGUUACAGCUGCGGUAACACCGG